GCGAGUGAAGCGGGAAGAGCUCAAAAUUUGUAAUCUGGCACUUUCAGUGUCCGAGUUGUAAUCUCGAGAAGUAUUUUCCGCGCCGGACCGCAUACAAGUCUGUUGGAAUACAGCGUCAUAGUGGUGAGAACCCCGUAACUGAUGCGGAUGCCCGGUGCUUUGUGAUAUACUUUCGAAGAGUCGAGUUGUUUGGGAAUGCAGCUCAAAUUGGGUGGUAAAUUCCAUCUAAAGCUAAAUAUUGGAGCAAGACCGAUAGCGAACAAGUACCGUGAGGGAAAGAUGAAAAGCACUUUGGAAAGAGAGUUAACAGUACGUGAAAUUGUUGGAAGGGAAACGCUUGAAGUCAGACUUGCUAUUCGGAGUUCAGCCGCAAGGUGUAUUCUUCGAUUUGCAGGCCAGCAUCAGUUUUUGGGGGUGGAAAAUCGUGGUUUGAAGGUAGCAGUUUCGGCUGUGUUAUAGCUUUCCACUGGAUUCAUCUUCGGGGACUGAGGAACGCAGUACGCUUUUUGCAAGGCUUUCGAGCUUUUCGUACUUAGGAUGCUGGUGGAAUGGCUUUAAACGACCCGUCUUGAACCACGGA
This 580-nucleotide ribosomal RNA is filed under the name Leucosporidium creatinivorum. Its description in RNAcentral is "eukaryotic LSU rRNA". It matches the Rfam family "Eukaryotic large subunit ribosomal RNA", at positions 89 to 665 of the family's 3401-position model. Lineage: Eukaryota; Fungi; Basidiomycota; Microbotryomycetes; Leucosporidiales; Leucosporidiaceae. The record is from RNAcentral.